CGGACGGGUGAGUAACACGUGGGCAACCUGCCUGUAAGACUGGGAUAACUUCGGGAAACCGGAGCUAAUACCGGAUAAUCCCUUUCCUCACAUGAGGAAAGGCUGAAAGAUGGUUUCGGCUAUCACUUACAGAUGGGCCCGCGGCGCAUUAGCUAGUUGGUGAGGUAACGGCUCACCAAGGCCACGAUGCGUAGCCGACCUGAGAGGGUGAUCGGCCACACUGGGACUGAGACACGGCCCAGACUCCUACGGGAGGCAGCAGUAGGGAAUCUUCCGCAAUGGACGAAAGUCUGACGGAGCAACGCCGCGUGAGUGAUGAAGGUUUUCGGAUCGUAAAACUCUGUUGUUAGGGAAGAACAAGUAUCGGAGUAACUGCCGGUACCUUGACGGUACCUAACCAGAAAGCCACGGCUAACUACGUGCCAGCAGCCGCGGUAAUACGUAGGUGGCAAGCGUUGUCCGGAAUUAUUGGGCGUAAAGCGCGCGCAGGUGGUUCCUUAAGUCUGAUGUGAAAGCCCACGGCUCAACCGUGGAGGGUCAUUGGAAACUGGGGAACUUGAGUGCAGAAGAGGAAAGUGGAAUUCCAAGUGUAGCGGUGAAAUGCGUAGAGAUUUGGAGGAACACCAGUGGCGAAGGCGACUUUCUGGUCUGUAACUGACACUGAGGCGCGAAAGCGUGGGGAGCGAACAGGAUUAGAUACCCUGGUAGUCCACGCCGUAAACGAUGAGUGCUAAGUGUUAGAGGGUUUCCGCCCUUUAGUGCUGCAGCAAACGCAUUAAGCACUCCGCCUGGGGAGUACGACCGCAAGGUUGAAACUCAAAGGAAUUGACGGGGGCCCGCACAAGCGGUGGAGCAUGUGGUUUAAUUCGAAGCAACGCGAAGACCUUACCAGGUCUUGACAUCCUCUGACAUCCUAGAGAUAGGACUUUCCCCUUCGGGGACAGUGACAGGUGGUGCAUGGUUGUCGUCACUCGUGUCGUGGAUGUUGGGUAAGUCCCGCAACGAGCGCAACCCUUGACUAGUUGCCAGCAUUCAGUUGGGCAUCUGAGCCGAACCGGGGGAUGAGUCAUCUGCCCGACUGGUACCCUGCUCGCUGGCACCGUUCCAAUUCCUCUGGUGACUGACCGAAUC
Molecule: ribosomal RNA, 1131 nt
Filed under: Mesobacillus foraminis
Lineage: Bacteria; Bacillati; Bacillota; Bacilli; Caryophanales; Bacillaceae
Description: bacterial SSU rRNA
Rfam family: Bacterial small subunit ribosomal RNA
Source: RNAcentral